UACGGAGGGUGCGAGCGUUGUCCGGAAUCACUGGGCGUAAAGGGCGCGUAGGCGGCUGGGGGAGUCGGCGGUGAAAACCCGGGGCUCAACUCCGGACUUGCAUUCGAUACGGGCAGGCUAGAGUUCGGUAGGGGAGUCUGGAAUUCCUGGUGUAGCGGUGAAAUGCGUAGAUAUCGGGAGGAACACCUGUGGCGAAAGCGGCUCACUGGACCACAACUGACGCUGAGGCGCGAAAGCUAGGGGAGCAAACAGG
This 253-nucleotide ribosomal RNA is filed under the name uncultured bacterium. RNAcentral's name for it is "partial 16S ribosomal RNA". It matches the Rfam family "Bacterial small subunit ribosomal RNA", at positions 524 to 776 of the family's 1533-position model. The record is from RNAcentral.